AGAAACAACGUAAAUAUUCUUUACCGUUUGCAGCACAGCAAACUCUACGCAUGAAAAUGGCACUGAGAGCCUUAUUGCCAAGGAGAAGUCAUUGCUAACGAGAGAAAAAAACGGACUCCUUGCUGUUUUGGCAUCGUCAUAUAUGAGCCACAGCAACUUACUGGAAGUAGGAGCUACAGCCACACAGAAUCACUCUAUGGGCGUUGAACUGAACACCGUCUGCGAUGAGGACCACGUCACAAAGCUGUCCUGCGAGCCGAAGCUUGUUGAACACUUCGAAAGCCGGGGACAUCAGUACUCGCUCCAUGUCGUGUGCCAUCAUUAUUCAAAAAUGUGGAUGUCUCGUCUCUUUCUCCUUUUUAUACCACUCGAAAUGACGUGUUCUAAUACGCAAAAACCGCACUUUUGCGUCACAGUGUUCUAAGAUACCGUAACGUUUAUUUUUAAAUCUAUAUUUGAGAUUCGAAAUUGAUUGGGGGGGAAAAUAUUUUCUAUGCGCAAUCAGCUGUACAAGAAGAACAAGUUAAAUGUUUUUAACAUCACUUUUGGAAAAUGUAUACCGUGCUUAUCUUAGCAUUUACGUUUUGUAUUAUGUGUGAAUUGUCAAAUCACGAAUUCCCGAAAUAAAUAAAAUAGUUCCUUAAUUAAUAAAAAAAUGUUUUCAUAUUUUUUCUCCUCGGCUACGUUUCUAAAAAUGAAAAACAAAAAAGGUCCUUUACAUGACUGUCAGGAACGAGGCUAAAGUUCGUAUCUUAUUCCCUAGUUUCCACCUUAAACAUAAGCCACUGAGCAACAAAUGUCCACAGGACAUUAUUUUAUGGGCUAAAUCUGGUCGGCCCGUUGUGGCCUUUAUUUAGAACAAAAAUGGUCCUUGAAAAUUGGGCUGCGUAGUCCGUCUGUUUUGGUCCACAUUUAGCACAAGACGGACGUAUUUUUCGGACCGCAAAUAUCCCCAAUACAGUCAUGAAAACAUAUUGCAGCAAGUGUGGAAUUAUCACAAUGAUUAUUGUGCUGUGUACAGUACACUUCACCCAAAUCCUGAACACUAUUGCAUAUAAUCGAUUAUAUAUUAUAGAGCAGUUAUGUUACAAUCAAGGUUUUUAAGUUUGUUUUCCUGCAGCUUCACGGCACCCAUCGUUCUUGCGCACCCCCACACAGAUGGACGAGUUAAGUUAGAAGUGGAUGGGAGUAGCGGCAGGACAGAUAUUCCGAGGGCACCCAUUGAACGAUGGCAUAACAAUGUGGAACAACUAAAAUAACCAAUCAGCACAGGACAACAAGAAGCAGACGGCGUAACAAGGACCGAAAGCCUGGGGGCUGAAGCUAAUUCAGUGGUAAAGACAUGAGCUCGUCUCUUGGAGGUCGACGUGAGGAGGUCUGCACUGGAAAAGACCACACUGAGACCAAACAGCUGUCUCCCUUCCUCCAUCUCUGAGCUACAGGAUGGUAUGUGUCACCUAACCUCUGCACACUGCACGCAGUGAUUUGCAGUGAUUUGCAUAUGCCAUAGGAUGCUUGGCCCUUUGCCUCCUUCCUGAUCCAAACUUCUAGGGUCUCCAUGGGUAACCAGCAUCCUGAUGCCAUGAAGAGGGUGUUGAGGAAGAGGAGAAGCUUCAUGGUGUAGUAAUACCAGCCACAUUUAAAUCAACAUGUAGGAAAAAAAAUCACCUGAGCUGCAAAACACAUAGCAAUCCAGUGGGGGCGCUGUUUGGCUCAUUGAGUUUGGAUGCUAUGUCUAUGAUGGGAAGGUCACCUGUUCAAUGUCACUACUGGGCCCCUCCGUAAGGCCCUUAACCCACCGUUACUCCAGGCACUGUUUGGCCCUGCUUUCUCAAAAAUGUCGCUUUUUAUGAAAUUGUCUGUUAAAUCUAACAUUCAUUUAAUUGAUAGAAAUGUGCAUCACUGGUGAAAGGUAAGCAAGUACUUAACAGUGAUAAAUUCAGUGUCUUACUUUUAACAGGGUUCUAAAUACAUAUAUAAAGCAAGCUGUGAUUGGAAAGCAGUUCAUACCCAAAAUGGUACAAUGGCCAAAAAAAUCCAUCCGUCUGUGUCUGCACUCGUUCUGCCGUCUUAUUCGAAACCAAAGCGGGUCGUACCUCCCACUUCACCUGGUGUCAGUCAGAAUGGCACAGGUGUAAUAUUCACUGUCGAGGUGUCACUUUUCAUUCAUGUUGUAAUUAUGGAGACCCCAGCUGCCUUACUGUGAGGUCAAAGCGAAACGUGGCUUUCAUGGGUUUUUCAAAUGUUGCCACACGAAUGCAGCAGUGCUAUUACCUGUCAAAGUUUACAGGUUUUCAGUGACUGACAUUUCAGUCACAUUUAACUGAUUUUACUGGGUCACAUGAUCGGGGGCGGGGCCUCAGGAUUGCAUUUCUCUCCACAGUGGGAUUUCAGUCACUACAGUCAUUGAUAAAACAAACACCCAGCAAAGUAUUUUUAUUCUGUUCUUCAGCUGUAUGAUCCACUGAGGUGAAAUAUCGUUCUCGUUGGUUAUAGAGCAAAUGAAAUGAUAAAUAGAAUAUAAAUAGAGACAUAUAAACGUGAUAUUUUAAGACAUAGAUAAAUAAAAUGCAGUUGAGCCACCUGAGUUACUAGUCCUUAAAACAGACCCAGUCUUAGACUUGAACUCUCAACAAAGACACUGUGCUUUCUGUGAACUUUCCGAGGGAACCCUGGGCUUUGAGUUAAAGCCAGCGGUUCAUUUUCAAAUAAUGCCAGAUAAAAAUAAAUUCCCCCAUGCCCACUGGCGCCCUGCUCCUCAAUCACAUCAAUGCAGUGUAACGGCAGUAAGCUUUAUUACAGUGUUGGCGUUGUGAUGGGAAGCAUACUCAAACUGCAGAAUCAUGUGUAUGCCCCCCCACCCCCACACACAAA
Brienomyrus brachyistius is the source of this 2874-nucleotide long non-coding RNA. RefSeq lists it as uncharacterized. The transcript has 6 exons. Lineage: Eukaryota; Metazoa; Chordata; Actinopteri; Osteoglossiformes; Mormyridae. The record is from RefSeq and is a predicted model, not a curated record.